RNAcentral lists this non-coding RNA (23 nucleotides) under Cricetulus griseus (Chinese hamster). Lineage: Eukaryota; Metazoa; Chordata; Mammalia; Rodentia; Cricetidae. The record is from RNAcentral.
GCAUGUGCGGACGAUGGCUUCUG